CAGUCGCCGCGGUAAUGCGAAGGGGGCUAGCGUUGCUCGGAAUCACUGGGCGUAAAGGGUGCGUAGGCGGGUCUUUAAGUCAGGGGUGAAAUCCUGGAGCUCAACUCCAGAACUGCCUUUGAUACUGAAGAUCUUGAGUUCGGGAGAGGUGAGUGGAACUGCGAGUGUAGAGGUGAAAUUCGUAGAUAUUCGCAAGAACACCAGUGGCGAAGGCGGCUCACUGGCCCGAUACUGACGCUGAGGCACGAAGGCGUGGGGAGCAAACAGGAUUAGAUACCCCCGUAGUCCCUGUCUCUUAUAC
This 301-nucleotide ribosomal RNA is filed under the name uncultured bacterium. RNAcentral describes it as "partial 16S ribosomal RNA". It matches the Rfam family "Bacterial small subunit ribosomal RNA", at positions 509 to 807 of the family's 1533-position model. The record is from RNAcentral.